GUCAGAGGUGCUUCAGAAAAGCCUGCUGGUGACUAGAAAUAUCUUCACUUUGUGUUAGCAUGCAGGUAGCAUGCCCACAGCCACCUGAAUUCUGACUGUAUUACAUCAUGAGGCAUGAGAUGUGCUCCAACAUGUGCUGGCAGGAGCAGUUGGAGAAGACUGGCUACAGAAGCUCAUCAAGAAAUGCAAAAGGCAUGACCUGCUAUCUAAGGAGCAGCCUCUAACAGUGCCCAUCUCCCAGGAUGCAAGAUUUGCCAAGGCACAGGUGAUGGAGUGUCCCGGCAGAGAGCAGGAGCCCUCAGCUGGAGAUCUGGGGUCAGAUGCAGCUUCUCUGAGUUACUUCUCUGACCAUUAUCCAAGACUCACAGAAGAUGUGCUGGAUGAGCUGAUGAGCCUUUUGUACUGCAGAUCUCCUCAAAACGCUGCAGGGUCAACAGCACGGUGCCAAACUAGAAUCAAUGAGGCCUUACGCAGACACUCAAGAAUAACAAGUCAACCAGUGGAUUUGCAGGCAGACUGUAACAGCUUGUUAUCUGAUGUCCCCUGGGCACAAACACUGAGACAUCUGCAGUUUUUGACCUUUUUUUUGUCUCUGCUGGCUCAAUAGCUAGUUAGCUGGUCAUUCAAUGUGAAAACAAAACAGAGGAAAGGAGAGCAAAUUGCAAUAGGCAGGAGAUGCUGGACAGUUAGGAUGCCAAAA
This is a long non-coding RNA of Zonotrichia leucophrys gambelii, 700 nucleotides long. RefSeq lists it as uncharacterized. The record is from RefSeq and is a predicted model, not a curated record. NCBI's taxonomy places the organism in Eukaryota, Metazoa, Chordata, Aves, Passeriformes, Passerellidae. The transcript is spliced from 3 exons.